This 253-nucleotide ribosomal RNA is filed under the name uncultured bacterium. RNAcentral describes it as "partial 16S ribosomal RNA". It matches the Rfam family "Bacterial small subunit ribosomal RNA", at positions 524 to 776 of the family's 1533-position model. The record is from RNAcentral.
UACGUAGGUGGCAAGCGUUGUCCGGAUUUACUGGGCGUAAAGAGCGCGCAGGCGGUCGUUCAAGUCGCGUGUGAAAGCCCCCGGCUCAACUGGGGAGGGUCACGCGAUACUGAUCGACUCGAAGGCAGGAGAGGGAAGUGGAAUUCCCGGUGUAGUGGUGAAAUGCGUAGAUAUCGGGAGGAACACCAGUGGCGAAGGCGACUUCCUGGCCUGUUCUUGACGCUGAGGCGCGAAAGCUAAGGGAGCAAACGGG